AUAGUUUAGUAGAAGGAACACGUGAUGGGAAUCUAGAAGACCCAGGUCUGAUCUUGGCUUUGUUCAGACAUUAACCAGCUGUGUGACUUUGGGUGAGACAGCUUUUAAAAAAUGAAGAAGAAAAAGAAGGAAAAGAAAUGACAGUCUGAAAGUUGAAAGCUCCUGAGUUUCUACAAGACUUGUUCUCACAGAAGAGGAGACACUAAUACCAUGUCCUAAUCACUGUAGUUCCUGCUAGAUAAAGGGACAGCUUUCCACAGAUGAACAGCAGCCUACAAAUGUCUCCCCUGUUGAGAGCCACCUUGGGAGCUGGCACUUUUCAUUCUGACCUGCCCAGCAUCAGACAUCACCAGAUCGAUGACAUACACUCCACAAGGGAUUGAGGUUCUGGCAGCCAGUUUGAUCAUAAAAUUAAAAGCUCUUUCUGGAGUGCAGGAACCUGAGAGGAGGAUGCUCUUCCUCCCCCUCCCAACACUGUCCGGCUGCCCUCUCAUACCUCCUUCCACUGCAACAAGCACAGAGACUGAUGUUAAUAGGUCAGUGGGUAACAGAGUAACAGAGUGGUGGAUCAGAUUAUAUUUAGGGAUCCAGAACAGCCCUCCCCCUCCAUUAGCAAUGAAUUAUAAUGAGGACCAUAAUUUGGAGACAUCAGUUCAAGACUCCACUAAAAGACCACUUCAGUAGUUGGGAGACUUCUUUAAAUGACCCCUUCCAGUGAAAGGUGCUGCCCAAGACUUAAAUCUAGGUGAGAUAAAGAUGUCAAUGCCUUUAUUCUUCCAUUUUACCUAAUUGAAUUUGGAAAUCCCUUUUCCCCAAGACCCAAAUCUAGUCAACAGAAGCUGAUGAUAAAUAACAAAUUUUUUCCCUUGGUCCUUUUAGCUCCAAUUAUGUCCCUUGACAACUUGCAACCAGGGUCAUUCAAAUAUCCCUGAAGGUCCAACGUGCUUUUAGAAAAGAGAAGUGGGACACAUUUGAUGAUCCUGUUGUAAAGACAAAGGUCUUUAUUUUCCUUAGAGAAGUAUGAAGUGUGGAUCAUGUUCAGAAAGAAUCAGCGGAAGACUUCAUGGAAGAGGUGCCAUCUGAGCUGGGCUUUGAGAGAAGAAAUAAAUUUCACAAUGUGACCA
Molecule: long non-coding RNA, 1124 nt
Filed under: Monodelphis domestica (gray short-tailed opossum)
Lineage: Eukaryota; Metazoa; Chordata; Mammalia; Didelphimorphia; Didelphidae
Description: lncRNA (ENSMODG00000037464.1)
Source: RNAcentral